AUUGAACGCUGGCGGCAGGCUUAACACAUGCAAGUCGAGCGGAGAGAGGUAGCUUGCUACUGAUCUUAGCGGCGGACGGGUGAGUAAUGCUUAGGAAUCUGCCUAUUAGUGGGGGACAACAUUUCGAAAGGAAUGCUAAUACCGCAUACGUCCUACGGGAGAAAGCAGGGGAUCUUCGGACCUUGCGCUAAUAGAUGAGCCUAAGUCGGAUUAGCUAGUUGGUGGGUUAAAGGCCUACCAAGGCGACGAUCUGUAGCGGGUCUGAGAGGAUGAUCCGCCACACUGGGACGAAGACACGGCCCAGACUCCUACGGGAGGCAGCAGUGGGGAAUAUUGGACAAUGGGCGAAAGCCUGAUCCAGCCAUGCCGCGUGUGUGAAGAAGGCCUUAUGGUUGUAAAGCACUUUAAGCGAGGAGGAGGCUACUUUAGUUAAUACCUAGAGAUAGUGGACGUUACUCGCAGAAUAAGCACCGGCUAACUCUGUGCCAGCCGCCGCCGUAA
Molecule: ribosomal RNA, 501 nt
Filed under: uncultured bacterium
Lineage: Bacteria
Description: partial 16S ribosomal RNA
Rfam family: Bacterial small subunit ribosomal RNA
Source: RNAcentral